RNAcentral lists this ribosomal RNA (388 nucleotides) under uncultured Lachnospiraceae bacterium. Its description in RNAcentral is "bacterial SSU rRNA". It matches the Rfam family "Bacterial small subunit ribosomal RNA", at positions 100 to 507 of the family's 1533-position model. Lineage: Bacteria; Bacillati; Bacillota; Clostridia; Lachnospirales; Lachnospiraceae. The record is from RNAcentral.
GGUAACGAACGUGGAGUAACCUGGCCUUACUACUGGGGGAGUAACAGCCAGAAAUAGCUGCUAAUACGCAUAAGCGCACGGCGCCGCAUGGCGCAGUGUGAAAAACUACCGGUGGUAUAAGAUGGAUCCGCGCCUGAUUAGCUAGUUGGCGGGGGCAGCGGCCCACCAAGGCGACGAUCAGUAGCCGGCCUGAGAGGGCGACCGGCCACAUUGGGACUGAGACACGGCCCAAACUCCUACGGGAGGCAGCAGUGGGGGAAUAUUGCACAAUGGGGGGAACCCUGAUGCAGCGACGCCGCGUGAGUGAAGAAGUAUUUCGGUAUGUAAAGCUCUAUCAGCAGGGAAGAAGAUGACGGUACCUGACUAAGAAGCCCCGGCUAACUACGUG